RNAcentral lists this ribosomal RNA (491 nucleotides) under uncultured bacterium. Its description in RNAcentral is "partial 16S ribosomal RNA". It matches the Rfam family "Bacterial small subunit ribosomal RNA", at positions 29 to 507 of the family's 1533-position model. The record is from RNAcentral.
AGUGAACGCUGGCGGUAGGCCUAACACAUGCAAGUCGAACGGCAGCACAGUAAGAGCUUGCUCUUACGGGUGGCGAGUGGCGGACGGGUGAGGAAUACAUCGGAAUCUACUUUUUCGUGGGGGAUAACGUAGGGAAACUUACGCUAAUACCGCAUACGACCUACGGGUGAAAGCAGGGGAUCUUCGGACCUUGCGCGAUUGAAUGAGCCGAUGUCGGAUUAGCUAGUUGGCGGGGUAAAGGCCCACCAAGGCGACGAUCCGUAGCUGGUCUGAGAGGAUGAUCAGCCACACUGGAACUGAGACACGGUCCAGACUCCUACGGGAGGCAGCAGUGGGGAAUAUUGGACAAUGGGCGCAAGCCUGAUCCAGCCAUACCGCGUGGGUGAAGAAGGCCUUCGGGUUUAAAGCCCUUUUGUUGGGAAAGAAAAGCAGCAGGUUAAUACCCCGCUGUUCUGACGGUACCCAAAGAAUAAGCACCGGCUAACUUCGUG